This 6398-nucleotide long non-coding RNA is filed under the name Nicotiana benthamiana. Its description in RNAcentral is "long non-coding RNA (NBEN_LNC015708)". Lineage: Eukaryota; Viridiplantae; Streptophyta; Magnoliopsida; Solanales; Solanaceae. The record is from RNAcentral.
UAACUUUAUUUGGAAAUGACCAUUUGAGGUUCUCACGCUUCGAAUGUUGUCACAGUUAUUGCAUUUAAAUUUGACUUAUUAUUAAUUAGCUUCAUGUUUCUACAAUUUCAGAAAGUUGUACAAACUUUUUAAGUGGCCGACCAUAUAUAUCUUGUAAAUAGUCCACGCUAAUACUAGUCCUCUCUUCAAAAAGUUUUUAAAAGCGACUUCUGGGAUUUAUUUAUACACAUUCAAGUCUACUAUAAUAUGAAGAUUAAGAAUGAUACCAAAAUUUUCAAUCUCUCUCAAACCAAAUAAGUGAAGUUUUUGGUAAUAAUCAUCCAGCUAGCUCUGCUUAGAACCACUGUUCUGCAAGUUAAUUUCAACUGUGUAUUGUGCAAGAAAUUCGUUUUGCAAGCCAUUGCAAGACGUGAAGGUAAUUCCACACACCACCCCUAAAAAAAAGGAGAAAAAAAAACAUCAAAACUAAGACAAUAGUUUUUUAAUUUAUUUCAACAUGUAGUUACGUGAUAUUUAAAUAUGUUACUUCCUUUUUAAUUUAUUUAUCCAUUUUUCUUUAGUUUAACUUCUAUGAUAUAACAAAUGUCUACAAAAUCAAUAGAGGUAGAGAUCUAAUGUAUAAGGUAUGAGCUUAUCUGAACCUAAUAAUUUUUGCCUAGCCAUUUAGAUUCUUUAUUGUAAAAUUACAAAUAAUAUUUCAAACUCAGUAAAUAAAAUGAGACGUGGUAGUCUCCGAGCUGGGUUAUUUAUUAGGUAAUUACAAAUAAAUCUCUUGAAAAUUAUUUGACAAUUACAUUAAAAAAAGUUAUUUAUAAUUAAUAGAUCAAAGAAUUUAAAAAGAUUUGCAAGAAACAUGAUCAACGAAAAUUAUAUUUGACUUUUCACAUAGUUAUAGAUUCACAUAAAUUAAAACAAACUUAAAUCCUUUACCUUUUUUUUGAAGUCGCUAAUUACUUGUCAUUGUUAUUGGGUUAAUAGGUAUAGAUUGUGUGAGCAUAAAAACAGUGGAGAGGAAAUUAGUAGUGGUUGGAACAGUACGUCCAGAGUUUCUUGUAAAGGAAAUAAAGAAGAUUGGAAAGGAUGCGGAGAUAAUACAAGUUACAGAGCAUAGACGAAAUGGUGAUGAUACAGCGACAGCGACGGCGAAUGAUGAAAAUGUUGAAGGAAAUAAUAACGUAAGACAUUUACCAAGAAUGUGCACACAGUGCCAAACUCGAACAGGGGUCGAAAUUGGAGUUCGGAACCGAAAUGAUAACUCUUUGGACUCAAACUGCUUUUCUACUCGUUAAAAAAAGUUACAUUUGUAACUAUUUCUCAGUAUUUUUCUGCGAAAUAGUUAAAAAUUAUUUUUUCAAAUUGCAUUUCGCAGUAAAAUACUGCGAAAUGGUUAUAAGUUGGGCCCAGGAGCUAUUUAAAUAGUUACUGCGAAAUGCUAUUUUAAAUAGAGCCUGGUCGUCUUCCUCAACGACAAACAUUUUGAAACCUUCAUUUUAAUAAGUUCCACUGCACUGGUCCCCCCACCCCGUGCUUUUAUUAACAAAAAAUUUGGCUCACCCAUCCCACAACGAACACGGAUUGUAGGCCCCACAUACCCCUACGGAGUCACUGAAUACGGAAAUCUACCGGUUACUUUGAAGUUAACCGAACGCCUCCUCUCACUCAUUUUUUUACGUAGCAAUGAUACCAAUGUAUCGUACUCUAUAUUAGUGGCAAUUUAACGUGACACCGUGAAGGUGAACUAUACCGCACAGAGUUAUUCUCCAUCAAAACCUCACCACCCCAAUAAAGAGAAACCCUUAUUUUUUACACUUCAGACAUUAUAAGAAAGAUUGAUAAGAAGAAGAGAGAAGUUUAUUGAAUGAAUGUUCANNNNNNNNNNNNNNNNNNNNNNNNNNNNNNNNNNNNNNNNNNNNNNNNNNNNNNNNNNNNNNNNNNNNNNNNNNNNNNNNNNNNNNNNNNNNNNNNNNNNNNNNNNNNNNNNNNNNNNNNNNNNNNNNNUUAUUGAAUGAAUGUUCAUGAAGAUCAAACGCCUAUAAAUAAGGCAAGUCCGAGGUCGGGGUAUAGAAUUUUUCAAAUGAAUUCGCAGUAAAAUACUGUAUUUUAUGAUUUGGAAUUAUUGCUGUUGUGUCAGCUAAAAUAACCUGUCCAUGCCCAAAAAACAAGGUACAUUUCGCAGUAAUUUAGUACGAAAUGUACCUUGUUUUUUGGGCUUGGACAUGUGAUUAAUUAAAAAAACAAAAAAUCAUUUCACAGUAUUUUACUGCGAAAUGCAAUUUGAAAAAAUAAUUUGUAACUAUUUCGCAGUAUUAUACUACGAAAUGGGUUCACGAAAAAAAAAUUUGUUAACUCAUUUCGCAGUAAAAUACUACGAAAUAGUUACAAAUGUAACCUUAUUUUUAAAACAUUAGAAAAGCACUUUGAGUUCAAAAAAUUAUCAUUUCGGUUUCGGACUCGUCGAAAUUGGUUGUAGGCCUCAAUUUGGUCAUGAUCUACACUACUUUAUGAUUAGUAUAGUCACGGAAAUUGUUGUUGUUUAAUUAUGUAAAUUGUUUUAGACUGCUAACUUUAAAAUUUUGAUGUUUACACCAAAUCAAUAAAUGUAUAUGGUAUAUGUAUUUUUUAUAUAUUCAUUUAGGGAUAUUCAAUGACUUAAUUUAUGAAAAUGAGGUUGAUUUUUUAUUUGUUAUUAUGUGGUAUCGUCCAUUUGCCCCGUUAUGUCUGGUUACGUAAUGAAUGGACGGACGUACUCCCGUUUCGACUCUUAUACAUACCGCUAGUAGGUUUGAUAAUCAAUAAGUUUUUUCAUUAAUUUUAUAAGAAUUAAAUUCUUUUAAAUCAACAUAAUUUAAAUUUAUUUUUCUCCUUUGAAUUGAUGAUAUAUAUAGCAAUUUUGAUUGAAUUUAUCAGUCAAAGCAGGAAAUAAUAUAUACCAUGAUAUUCUUGAUUAUUUUUUUAUUCAAAGAGUCAAUAUAAUUAAAUUAUUAUUGUAUUCUCAAAUUCACUCCAAUUAGUAACCCUAAAGAUUACAUUAGUUAGUUUAGUAUAAAUUUGGGUAGAAAUAAUUUUUUCUGCCCAAACCCUAUGGUGCACACCAUUACGCGGGAAAUACGGGACUGGAUUUGAUGGUUGUAUUUGAGAAUAUGAACAAAAUGAGUUUUUGGUCUUAAUUUGGCCACUUCUUUAACUUUUGGAAGAAAAAAAAGAUUAUAAGCUUUUACAAGGUUGCCUAACUAUAGGUAUUCUUUUUUUUUUUUUUGGGUAAAUAAGAUAUUUAUUUAGAACAUAAAUUUAGUAGUCAUUAUAACAAGAGAUUUGUUUAGCAUACCCAGUGCCUAUCCUGUCCCUAUUAAAACUGAAAUAGAAAAUACAGGCGGAUAAUAAUACAAUAGUAUUAAGUUAGCAAAUAAGUCCAUGCUGCAUCCAUUCUUGGCUAAGAUGUCCGCUGCUCCAUUAGUUUCUCUGAAUACAUGCCUCAAAGGUGGCGUGCCAGCCUUAGAUAAUAGGGACAUGCAGUCAUUAAUAAUAUUUUGAUAAAGAUUAUUUUCAUUAUUUAUCAUGUUGAUUAGUUCCUGGCAAUGUGUUUCAAUGACUAGAGGAGUCAGUCUCAUUUGGAUGGCUAGUUUUAGACCUUGUACUAGGGAUAUGGCUUCUAUUUGAAUAUUUGUGGCGUGUGCAAAUCCCAUAUUGAAUCCUAGUAUCUAUUUUCCAUUGCUAUCCCUAAAAAUCCCGCCUAUCCUCCCCCCUGACUGGGUUACCUUGGCAUGAUCCAUCUAUAUUUACUUUUAAAAUCCCUAUGUCUGGGGUUGCUAUCUAAUAAGGAUCGUUCUUUUUGGUAUCCGUAUAGGACUCCAGUUGCUUAGAAAAAGGAAUUCUUGGGUGCUAUUGAUUACUUAUCUAAUGCUUCUAGUUGGAGUAAAGAGGGUCCCCUUAUCUAAUGCCUCUAGUUAGAGUAAAGAAAUUUGUAUUUGAGCCAUUUAUGAGUAUGGAGAUAGAUGUGAAGGAUACACACGAUAUUAUUAGAUCAAUUAAGUCAUCGGGGAAAUUUAGAGAUUUCAGGGAGAAUCUAAUGAAAGAUCACUCCAGCUUGUCAAAGGCCUUUUCCAGGUCAAUUUUGAUCAUGAUUUUUUCCUUUUUUUCCUUUUGAAUUUUUUAAAGAUUUUUGUGUUUCAUGCACUAUUAUGGCAUUAUCCGAGUCUCUUCUUCCUCUUAUAAAGCUCGUUUAAGUAGGAUGUAUAAUAUUGUUGAGCAAAGGUUUUAUUCCAUUAACUAUAAUUUUAGUGACGACCUUAUAGGCAGUGUUACACAGACUAAAGGGCCUAUAAUUGCUUUAAUGUUUCAGCAUCGUGAUAAAACAGACGAAGGUUCUAUUCAUGUCCUCAUUCAUUCUUUUACUUGUGAAGGAUUCUUUACAGAAGUUUACUAGCAGGUUGCUAGUUAUUCCCCAGAAUUAUUAGUAGAAGAAAGGGUGGAUGUCAUAUGGUUCAGGUGCCUUUAGUGGUUUAAAAGAGAAAAGGGUGGGAUGGUCGGUAAGGGUAAUUGAGGAUAGGGCAGGCAUGUAUAAUGGUGAUUUUUGGGAGGAAUUGUGAUUAGAAGUAUAUAAAUUUUUGUAGAAGUUCAUUUUAAUGUGGGUAAGUUCCUUCGGGUCAUGUAACUGAUUACCAGCUUCAUCUCUGAGGCUAAAUAUCCUAUUUUCCUUCUACUUUGUAGGGUUAUGAGAUGGAAAAACUUUGUAUUAGCGUCGCCUUCUUGAAUCCAUUAGAUUCUAGAUUUCAGUUUCCAGAAUUCCUCCUCCAAUUUGAGGAUUUUUUGUAGUUCAUCGAGUAGUUCAAUUUCUAGAUUAGACAAGAAGGUGUUGGUUGUGUAAUUUGGAGAUUUUUGAAUGCCUUCUAGUCUAUCUAGGAUUUUUGUUCUUUUAUUAAAAGAUAUUUCCAAAGGUAUCCUUGGUCUAGGCAAUGGCUUUAUUAGUGAAGUUGUUGAUAGCAUUUGAAAUAGUGACUUGGUUUGUCCAGCAUUCCAUUACUAGUCCCUUAAAUGUGGGAUGGGAUAGUCACAUAGAUUCUAGUCGAAAUAUAUUAUUACUGUGGAUGGGUUUUUUUAUAAGGUCCAGAUGUAUGAGGUAGUGUUCAGAGUGGGUUUUUAUAAGAUGUUUUACACUGGCUUCAGGAAACAUACUAAUCCACCGUUGGCUACGAAUCUGUCCAAUCUCUCCAUGAUGAAAGCAUUUUUUUUCUUUUUCCUCUUAUUUAAUCAAGUGAACUUUGGGCCUUUAAACCCUAGGUCUAUUAAUUAAAAGCAUCAAGAUAAUUAAUAAACUUUGUGAUUCUAUUGUUAUUAACAUGUAUACCUCUAAAUUUCUCACUUGAACUAGUGACCUCAUUAAAAUACCCUAAUACUAACCAGGAUCCUUUAUAAUUAUUUGCAGCUGUUAUUAAAUUAUUUCACGGAGUAAUUCUUUCCAUUAACAAAAUACUAGCAUAAAUAAUUGAGCAUAACCAAGUUUUAGGGUAGAAUUUUACCUUCACCAUGACAUGAAUUUCUUAUUCAGAUCCCUCUAUUUGGUCAACACUGACUUCAUCCCUGUUCCGUACUAGUGUCAUUCCUCCCGAGUUUCUUUGUGCCGCAACCUAAGCUAGACCUGAAAAGCCAAAGUCCUCCAUGAUGACAUAGCGUUCAGAUAAUUUCGUUUCGAGUAAUGCAACCACACUAGGUUUGUGGUAAUCAAGUAUGGAUCUAAAAGCUCUUCUGAAGUAUGCCUUUUCUGCUCCACGACAGUUCCAAGAUGUUGACGUCUUAAGAAUGCUCCUACUUGAUUAAAAGUAAAACGAUAAAGUAAAUAAACAAAAUAAACGUAACAGUAAUCUUCCUUCAUAUGCAGACAAUGACGAUAACCCGAUUUCCAUUCAAUUUCAACUAGUCAGAUUCUUUAUCUUCCCAACACCACCCAUGACCCAAAGGCAAUCUGAUUUCUUUUCUUAAGAACUUAUAUCUAUUUUAAACAUAUUCCAAAUUUGCUAUGACUAAACAACAUACAGAGUCAGGAAUGGAAAUCGAUUCAAUUUAUUUAAUCUAACUAAAUUAAUUAAAAAAAACAUAACUAUCACUGAAUUAAUCAAUGUUAACAGAUUCUAAAGCUCCAUUCACAGUAGGAAAGUGAAGAUAGAUAGGAUGAAGAAAAUGGACCUGAUGUGGCAAAACGUUUUUGAAAUAAUGAACAACAAACAACCGGCCAGAGCUACGGUUGGCGACCUCGACGGACUCGAAUGGGCUUUGACGGAAUUCGAACUCGACCGAGACACGGCUACAGCUGUUCAUUUCCCGGUGAGCUGGGCAUUCUCUGGUGGAUUCGCGUUGGCUACUGGUUCAGUAAUUGUGGAGUGACGGCUGCUGGAUUUUUUUAG